Non-coding RNA from Coturnix japonica (Japanese quail), 7427 nucleotides. The record is from RefSeq and is a predicted model, not a curated record. NCBI's taxonomy places the organism in Eukaryota, Metazoa, Chordata, Aves, Galliformes, Phasianidae.
GAGUGUGGGUGGCAGGGUACAAUUUAGCUUCAGUAAAAAUGCAUGCAGCUGAGCUUCAAAAGCCAUACUAGCCUUCACAGAAAAGAUGAAAAAGCCUCGAAUUUAAAAAAAAAAAAUAAAAUAAAGCUUUAGGUUAAAAACAAACAAAAACAAAAAAAGAGAGAGAAUGUCCAAGGUCAGUUUAAGACAACCCAAUUUUUUUUUUUUAUGGGACUAGAACCAUCCUCUGGUUUACAACAUUAAAGAGGAUAGCUUCAUGGCAACAAAGUCCUUAGCUCCUUUUAUGUUUCAGUAGAAUUGCAAAUUCAGUAACGUUAUGAUCUUACUACAACAAAACUACAUCCGCAAGUUGUUUUUUUUUUACACAACUAGUCAAGGGCCUGGAAUAAAUCAAGGCAUAGUCUGGCUCCAUUUGCACUGAAAACACUGCAUAACACAUACUCUUUCAUAUGCAACUACCUACUACAGCUCUGGGAAGCAGUCUGUACAGUCACAAUGCAUUUAAGGAGUCUGGAUCCUGAAGCUUCUGGUCCUUCCACAAGAGCCUGUUUUUUUUCCCCACAAUCACAAUCUAUUUCCAAGACAUUCUGUUCUUUUCACUUACUUUUUUUUUUUCCCCUAUAUAUUCAGGGAAUAUAUAUUUGAAAAUGUGACUAUAGCAGUUUUUCUUUCUACAUUGCUUUAUUUCAUGAUAUUUGUUGAACUUAUGCACUUUCUAUUCAGAAAUUAGAUGAACUGUACAGGCUAUUGGUUUUGAUCCAAAAAAUCUGAAUUCUCUUACCAUGCUUCAAAUUAACCACAUCAGGACUGAAACACUGGAGAGGCAGGAAACAAAGAGAGCAAAGAUUUCACUGGCAACAAGACACAACAAUAUAAUACAAAAAUAGACUCAGAAUUUUAGAGGUAUUAGAGUACCCAGCUUUCAGAAACAGACAAUUUCUUCCUUUCCAAAAAUUUCAGAUCUAAGGAAAACAGCAUUAACUGCCAAUACACUGAACUCCCUCCCUGCAAUACAGGUUUUAUUACAAAUAAUAAAAGGAGGAAAAAUAUGAUUAGUGAUGAAUGUUCACAGUGAUAACUUUUCCUAGAUAUUGUCUAUAGAGGGGAAGCAUGACAGUGGUCCAAGAAGCAGAAGGCCCAGUCUGACUAGGUUUGCAACGAGCAGCUCUUAAACACAGAGAGGUCUGUGUUUUUGGAAAGGAUAUGGAAGCAAGGCAAAUUCUCAAGAAUAAGGCAGAAUCUGGAAAGUAUCAAUUAAAAGAAAUAAAAAGAAAUAAGUCAAAAGCAUUCAAAAAGAUACAGCACAGUGCCAUGUCUGCCAUUUGCAUCUCCACUGCUAAAUAAUGGUUAAAGCAGAUGGAGGAUCAUGGCAAACUGAAGGAACAAAAAAAUACGAAGAUUCAUCUGCAACAAGAGAAUAAAAAAGAAAAAGCUCUACUUAGAGCUGAAUAACAUGCCAGAUUGCCCAGAGAAGGUGGGGGGGGAGAGCACUCUGAGAAAAGCAGAGAGAAAAGUGUUACACUUAAAAAUGAAGCAAGGAGCAGAAUGAAGAUUGCACUGCCCCCAUGGAGAGAUAAUGAGAUGUCACUUCCAGUACAGAAGUCAAAAGAGGUCAACUUAAAGAGUAAGUAGAAACCCAGAGAAAACAGAGGCGAGUAGACGAUAGCAGAGACAAUGUGAACAGAGUAUGUAAAUUAAUUUCUUACAAUCCUGAUCACAUGGAUCAUGUGAAAUGGUGUCAAGGAAACCGAAUUUUGUUUUUUAGCAGGAGAUGGUAGGAAUGGGGACAAAACAAAUUGGCAAUUAAAAAGUAAGAACAAUAUUAUGUAUUUUCAAACUUCACCACAGAUACUGCCAGAAGCCCAAGUGGAAAUGCUUACAGACAUGGAAUAAUGUGAGUGUGUGAGGAAAAUUCCUACUACGUGAUGUUGAAUAAAGGACUUAGAAGCACAUUAAAAGGUCAAAUCUGAUCUCUGGCUGUGGAGAGAAUAUCAGUUAGAGCAGAAAUAUAGACCCAAAUACUUGGUCUGAAAAAAACAGAAAAUUUGUUUUGGAAGAGACCUUAAAAAGUCAUCCAAUUCAACUGCUCUGUAAUGAACAGGAACAUCCAAAGAUAGAUCAAGUUGUCCAGAGCCUGGUCCAGCCUGACGUUGAAUGUCUCCAGUAAUGGGGCAUCCACCACUUCUCUGGGCAACCUGUGCUUUACCAUCAGUAUUGUCAAAAAAGUUUUUCAUUCUAUCCAAUCUAAAUUCUCCUCUCUGUUAGUUUGAAAGCAUUUCUCCUUGUCUGGUCACAGAGGUCCCUGAUAAAUAUUCUGUCCCCUUCUUUCUUAUAGCUCCCCCUUUAGAUACUGAAAGGCUACUUCCAUGUCUUCCCAGAACCUUUUCUUCUCCAGGUUGAAUAGCCCCAGCUCUCUUGGCCUACUGUCAUAGGAGAAGCAUUCCAUCCCUUGGAUCAUUUUUGUGGCCCUCCUCUGGAUACACUCUAACAGGUCCAUGUCUCUCCUAUACUGAGGACUCCACAUCUGGAUGAAAUAUUCCAGGUGAGGUCAAACCAGUGCAGUGUAGAGGGGAAGAAUCACCUCUCUCAUCCUGUUGGUCAUACUUCUUUUGAUGCAACCAAGGAUACAGUUGUCUCUCUGAUCUGUGAGGGCACACUGCUGGCUCAUGCUCAGCUUGCCAUCCACUUGUAGCCCCAAGGCCUUUCGGGCAGGGCUGUGCUCCAUUCUUUCACUACCCGGUUUGCAUUGGUAGGUUGUACCCAGGUGCAAAACAUUGCAUUUGGCCAUGCUGAACCUCUGAAGGUUCUCUUGGACCAACUGCUCAACCUGUCUAGGUCUCUCUCUGGAUAGCAUCCCAUCCCAUGGGCGUGUCAACUGCACCACACAGUCUGGUGCCAUCUGCGAACUUGCAGGUGCACUCAACACCACUAUCAAUGUAACUUAUUAAGAUAUUAAACAACAACGGUCCCAGUAUCCCUGAUGGAUACCACUCAUCACUGACCUCCAUCCAGACACUAAGUCAUUGACCACUACUCUUAAAACUGCAUGUGACAUUGCUAUUUUCACCUGACCACCAUCACUCCUCAAAUACUAUUGAGAGUGGCUUGCCAACUACAUCAGCCAAUUCCCUCAGGACUCUGGGAUGUAUCUCAUUGGGACCCAUGGAUUUAUGGAUAUCCAGGUUCCUCGGGUGGUCACAAACCUCAUCUUAAGUUUACAAAAGGAAGGAACAUUGCUCCUCUUGUCCCCACCUUCCAAACCACCCACUUGAAGGGUUUGUGAAGACCAGUUGCUAGUAAAGACCGAGGAAAAAAAGUUGUUGAGUACCUCAGUCUUCUCUUUGUCCAUUGUUACCAGCCUGCCUGUAUGUUUAUGGGGUGGGAGGGUACACUUUCUUAGACUUUCCCUUUCUGUUUGAUGUACCUAAAGAAGACUUUCCUGUUCUUCUUUACAUCCCAUGCCAAGUCCAGUUUCAGUUGGGCUUUGGCCUUCCCAACCCAAUCCCUACACAAUCUAGCAGCAUCCUUAUACUCCUCCCAGCAUACCUGUGCCUCCUUCUACUGCCCCUGCAUUUUGUUCUUGCUUUUCAGUUUGACCAGCAGGUCCCAGUUCAGCCAUGCCAUUCUCCUACCUUUCUUUCCUGACUUCUGACACCUGGAGACUGAGAGCUUCUGUGAACAAAGGAAAGCUUCUUUAAAGAUCUGCCAGCUUUACUCCUUUCCCUUGUCUCUGGCAGCAGUUUCCCAGAGGAGUAUGUCGGAUAGCUCCUUGAAGAGCUGGAAGUAAAUAUAUAUCUUCUAAACAGACUUAAGAAAGAAGAAAUAUCAAAAUUAAAUCUGGCUAUGCUCAAGAGGCAAAGAAAUAAAGUAUUAAUUAAGGACACUGGAACACUUGACUUGCUGCCCUGAGCUAGAGGUCAGAAAACAAGUUCUGAUCCCGGCUUGAUCUCAGACCUGUCAGAGAUUAACCUCUGCCCUUGGUUCAGUUUUACUUCUUACACAAUAAACUCUCUGGAGCUAGUACUGCUCCUCACACUCCCGACACAGUGCAGUACACUCAGUUGUGUCACAUUAAAGCAACAAAGCAGGACCAGAGGAAUGAAACAAAGAAGCAGAUGGCUUACUGAUUUGGGGGAAACCUAGAAUUAUAGUUUGUUUGGGGUUUGUUUGUUAUUUUUGUUUUUUGAAGAGCAAGAAACAGAAUAAGCAGCCCAGAAGGAGAAACCGGAGAAAGCAACAAAGGCUGUGGAUGUUAUCACAGCACAUACUGUCUUGACAGUCAGCUAUAGUAAAUGACUGCAACAAUGCAGAAGAUGGAAGACAGAAAUUCAUAAGAGUGUGGGAAGAUGAGGAACACUGGCAGAUAUAGGCUGUGUAAUGCACAGCCUGAUACACAUGAAUAUUCACAGGUCCCUAUUGGGGACAAUGCCAGGCAUGUGUCAGGCCAUCUAUUUGCUUUCAUUCACUCUCAGUAGAAAGUCUCUGAAUAUUUCUUGUCAUGGAUAAGCAUUUCAUGCACACAUCCCACGUGAUUGUACCAGAGGAUACAAAGCCCUCACACAGUGUUUCUCUUUUCCAGCCAGAUAAGCAUAGCUUUUAACCAUGUUUCCUCUGUCAACAGGUAUUUCACUUUUUUUUUUUAUAUAUCAUGUAUGUACUCAUUCAAUCAUUUUUCACUUGUGGUAAUCUUCUUGAAAGAUGAAAUGAACGUGACAUGAGAAAACAAAGCAGAAGAAAUACACUUUAAAACAUGCAAACAUUACUGAACCAAUUUUUGAAUAAGUAGAGAAAAAGGCAGAUAGAUCACAAAUAUUUUGUAUAUUUACGCUAUAAGCUGCGUCACCAUAUGGAGAGAUCCAGGCUCACUUUAAAGGAGUUCUCUUUGGCUGUGCAAGCUGCCUGCCAGCCUGAUGCACAGUGUGGCUCAUCACCCUGCUGUUAGCAGCAGUGGGACUGGACUGCUCAGAGCCUGCUCAUCUCAUUCAGGAUGCAAGCAAACUGGGCUGAGCUGACACCAGGUUUAAAACUGUGAUCACAGUAUUUAUUUAUUUUCUUUUGGAAUGAGUAGUUACAGGCAAGCAGUUGAGUGAGUGAUGAGAAGGUCCACUUAGCAGGUGAAGGCAAGAGCCUGGUAGUUUCCACCCAUGUUUAUGAGCAAUGGGAAAGAUUUUCUCCUAUCUCAGCAUCAGCCAGAGCAGGUCCUUCAAAAAUGCCCUAACAGAAAUCUCGCUGUCUUAUGCUUUAUAGCCUAAAGACAAGAGACAUGCCUCAAGCCUCCACUGUACAAAAUCCUAUGUAUUUUCACAGGCAGGAAAGGUAUCAUGCAAUAUUCCUUAAGAAUUCUAGUUAAUUACAUCAGUGCCUUUAUGUUAAACCUGUGCUUUUCCUUUGAGGUCUGUAGCAUGACCUCUUGCUCCUUGCCUUUUCCAGGAGGCUGGGUGCUCACCCUGUCAUGGCCCAGGUGACUGAAAAGUGCUCAGCCCAUAGGGAGCAUACAUAAAUCAGACAUUCUGCAUGACCCCUUCACAAUCUUGGCAUUUCUGACUGAACUAAUGAAGUUUUCUUUUUCUCACAGGAAAUCCAUGAAGGUGUUUCUUCUCCCAGUAGCUUCUAAAGUUCUGAAUACCUCAGUAGGGCUUAUUCAGACGUAUCUGGUAUACUUCAACUAAUAUAUCCACAACAGAAUAAUGUCCUGUUUAAAACUUAAAAAAUAAAGCAAAUUGAAAAUAACCACAACCUCCAGAUACAGCUCAGAAAAAAAAAAAGAAAAUAUAGUCCUGAAAACAUUGUUACAAGAUAACAUCUUGACUAGUGGUACAGAGCAGGGUAGUCACACUUGAGCUGUUUGCUGAUUCUUAACAGUAUUACUAAGAGUGAAAAAUUAAGAAGUCAGAGGAAAAGCUGGUGAAAGCUUCUAAUUUGAAACCUUAACUGCAAAGUAAAGCCUAACAGUUCUAGCCCUACAAUACAUCCUCGUGAAGGAGCAACCUGUGACCUUGCAGGGAACAAUCAGCAUGCUGAAAAGAGUGAAUGAGUCACAGAAUCACAGGGUUUGGAAGACAACUCUGGAGAUCAGCUAGUCCAACUCCCCACUAAAGGAGGUCCUGUAGGCUACACUGGAGAGGAAAGCGUGAGCAAGCAACCUUCUGUGAUAUGAGCACUUAGUAUAAAAGCAAUCCUGAUGUAGAGAUUGCCAGCAGCCUGUACUGCAAGCAAACUAGAACAGACAAGAAGUGUCUAAGUUUCAGAAAACUUAUUACUCCACCUGUACUGUCACAAGUUCACUGGGUCAGAUAGGAUCUAGCCAAUAGUGACAAGGGAGCUGGCAGAGUUGAUUGCCAAGCCACUUUCCACCAUCUAUAAGUGUUCCUGGUCAACCAGAGGGGCUUAUUCUGCUCCUUAUCCCAGAUUUAUAGGUCGGGGGGCUACAGAUUAAAGACACUCAUACGAAAAUAACACCCUUAUGCUGAUUUACUGUCACUCCUAAGAUCUUUAAUGAGAAUGCCUGGGUACCAACGGGUGCAAGCAAUUGUUUGCAUUGCAGUACUAACACCACUGAGGAAAUCAGGCUCAGGGGAGGCCUCACUUCAUGGAACUCCCUGAAAGGAGGCUGUAGCCAGGUGGGGGUCAGCCUCUUCUCCCAAAUAUGAGAAGAGGAACGAGAGGUAAUCAGCGGCCAACAGCCCACAAGUGAAGCCUGGAGAACAUCAUGGCAACACGUAAACACUCUACUGGAUACUGAUGGAGCCACAGGCCCCGCAGCAUCCAGGUAGGGCCAGGAGGGUGGAUGUGCCGCCCAGUGCCUUCGGCAGCACCAACACGCCGGGUUCCAGAAGGGCUGCAUCCGGCAAGAGCCACUGCCCUCCUGCUUGGGUGCCCUCAGCCCUGUGAGGUGUGAUGGUUCCACAGGGGGUGGCACAGAACAGCCAUUGUGACUUGCAGGGUUUAGAGCAGAGCUGAGGCUGCGGGGCUCAGGCCCAGCUCAGUGCGACUUGUGAGGUGAGCAGGGAGGAAGGGGCUGCCUGAGGCUGCCGAGGGAGGGAGGAGGGUUCCCUAGCGCUCGGGGACCUGAGCUGCCAACUCAUCCUCGUCCCGCUUCUCCCAUAGGUUGGCACACAGAGGACAAAGCCUGGUUUUACUGGGACAGAGACUCUGCGAGUGCUCGCCAUUGAUACACACGAUGUCUGAGGGGAUGUCUGAGGGGACACAGGAGGCCGCCGGCUCGACUGAGCUAGCAUGCGUGCUCUGUGGCCAAGUGGAUAACAAGCCAUCCAUCUUCGGCAAGAGAUACGAGAUGUAUGGGCUAUGUUUCCAUGCAUAUUGUGUGGGAUUUGCCAACGGUCUUUGCCAACAUGGCAUAGACAAUCAAAACAGGGGACUUUUUCACAUUGAACACCUCAUUGACUUGAUGAGGGUGGCAGCGCAGA